UGGGGAAUUUUGCACAAUGGAGGAAACUCUGGUGCAGCGACGCCGCGUGAGUGAUGAAGAUCUUCGGAUUGUAAAACUCUGUCCUUAGUGAAGAUAAUGACAGUAACUAAGAAGCAAGCCCUGGCUAAAUACGUGCCAGCAGCCGCGGUAAUACGUAUGGGGCAAGCGUUGUCCGGAAUUAUUGGGCGUAAAGGGUACGUAGGCGGUUUAAUAAGUCCUAAUUAAAAGGCUAUGGCUCAACCAUAGUAUGGUUAGGAAACUGUUGAACUUGAGUAGAUGAGGGGAAAGUGGAAUUCCAUGUGUAGCGGUGAAAUGCGUAGAUAUAUGGAGGAACACCAAUGGCGAAGGCAACUUUCUGGAAUCAAACUGACGCUGAGGUACGAAGGCGUGGGGAGCAAACAGG
This 403-nucleotide ribosomal RNA is filed under the name Fusobacteriota bacterium. RNAcentral describes it as "Fusobacteria bacterium partial 16S ribosomal RNA". It matches the Rfam family "Bacterial small subunit ribosomal RNA", at positions 355 to 776 of the family's 1533-position model. Lineage: Bacteria; Fusobacteriati; Fusobacteriota. The record is from RNAcentral.